RNAcentral lists this ribosomal RNA (254 nucleotides) under uncultured bacterium. Its description in RNAcentral is "partial 16S ribosomal RNA". It matches the Rfam family "Bacterial small subunit ribosomal RNA", at positions 524 to 776 of the family's 1533-position model. The record is from RNAcentral.
UACGGAGGGGGCAAGCGUUGUUCGGAAUUACUGGGCGUAAAGGGCGCGCAGGCGGCUGCUCAAGUCAGGCGUGAAAGGCCUGGGCUCAACCCGGGAAUUGCGCUUGAGACUGGGCUGGCUUGAGUGCGGGAGAGGAUGGUGGAAUUCCGGGUGUAGCGGUGGAAUGCGUAGAGAUCCGGAGGAAUACCAGAGGCGAAGGCGGCCAACUGGGCUUGUUCUGACGCUGAGGUGCGAAAGCGUGGGGAGCAAACAGG